GGGCGCGCCUAACACAUGCAAGUCGAACGAGCGAGAGAGAGCUUGCUUUCUCGAGCGAGUGGCGAACGGGUGAGUAACGCGUGAGGAACCUGCCUCAAAGAGGGGGACAACAGUUGGAAACGACUGCUAAUACCGCAUAAGCCCACGGCUCGGCAUCGAGCAGAGGGAAAAGGAGCAAUCCGCUUUGAGAUGGCCUCGCGUCCGAUUAGCUAGUUGGUGAGGUAAUAGCCCACCAAGGCGACGAUCGGUAGCCGGACUGAGGGGUUGAACGGCCACAUUGGGACUGAGACACGGCCCAGACUCCUACGGGAGGCAGCAGUGGGGAAUAUUGCACAAUGGGGGAAACCCUGAUGCAGCGACGCCGCGUGGAGGAAGAAGGUCUUCGGAUUGUAAACUCCUGUUGUUGAGGAAGGUAAUGACGGUACUCAACAAGGAAGUGACGGCUAACUACGUGCCAGCAGCCGCGGUAAAACGUAGGUCACAAGCGUUGUCCGGAAUUACUGGGUGUAAAGGGAGCGCAGGCGGGAAGACAAGUUGGAAGUGAAAUCCAUGGGCUCAACCCAUGAACUGCUUUCAAAACUGUUUUUCUUGAGUAGUGCAGAGGUAGGCGGAAUUCCCGGUGUAGCGGUGGAAUGCGUAGAUAUCGGGAGGAACACCAGUGGCGAAGGCGGCCUACUGGGCACCAACUGACGCUGAGGCUCGAAAGUGUGGGUAGCAAACAGGAUUAGAUACCCUGGUAGUCCACACUGUAAACGAUGAUUACUAGGUGUUGGAGGAUUGACCCCUUCAGUGCCGCAGUUAACACAAUAAGUAAUCCACCUGGGGAGUACGACCGCAAGGUUGAAACUCAAAGAAAUUGACGGGGGCCCGCACAAGCAGUGGAGUAUGUGGUUUAAUUCGACGCAACGCGAAGAACCUUACAAAGUCUUGACAUCCUGCGACGGACAUAGAAAUAUGUUUUUCCUUCGGGACGCAGAGACAGGUGGUGCAUGGUUGUCGUCAGCUCGUGUCGUGAGAUGUUGGGUUAAGUCCCGCAACGAGCGCAACCCUUAUGGUCAGUUACUACGCAAGAGGACUCUGGCCAGACUGCCGUUGACAAAACGGAGGAAGGUGGGGAUGACGUCAAAUCAUCAUGCCCUUUAUGACUUGGGCUACACACGUACUACUAUGGCGUUAAACAAAGAGAAGCAAGACCGCGAGGU
This 1202-nucleotide ribosomal RNA is filed under the name metagenome. RNAcentral describes it as "bacterial SSU rRNA". It matches the Rfam family "Bacterial small subunit ribosomal RNA", at positions 40 to 1263 of the family's 1533-position model. The record is from RNAcentral.